GAUGAACGCUGGCAGAAUGCUUAACACAUGCAAGUCUUUGGCGAAGCUGUGCUUGCACAGCCUAGCCAAGGCGGACGGGUGAGUAACGCGUCAGGAACUUGCCCUGCAGUCAGGGAUAACAGACGGAAACGACUGAUAAGACCUGGUAAAGUCAGGCGGACUCAUGUCCAGCCUGAUGAAAAGAGAUGCUGCAGGAGAGCCUUGCGUCCUAUUAGCUUGUUGGUGGGGUAACGGCCCACCAAGGCGAUGAUGGGUAGCCGGCCUGAGAGGGUGGACGGCCACAAGGGGACAGAGAUACGGCCCUUACUCCUGCGGGAGGCAGCAGUGGGGAAUAUUGGACAAGGGGGGCAACCGUGAUCCAGAAAUUCUGUGUGCAAGAUGAAGGUUUUCGGAGUGUAAAGUGCUUUCAGCAGGGAAGAAAAAAAUGACGGUACCUGCAGAAGAAGCGACGGCUAAAUACGUG
This 463-nucleotide ribosomal RNA is filed under the name uncultured bacterium. RNAcentral's name for it is "partial 16S ribosomal RNA". It matches the Rfam family "Bacterial small subunit ribosomal RNA", at positions 28 to 507 of the family's 1533-position model. The record is from RNAcentral.